RNAcentral lists this microRNA precursor (125 nucleotides) under Prunus dulcis (almond). Its description in RNAcentral is "sRNA ncRNA". The record is from RNAcentral. Lineage: Eukaryota; Viridiplantae; Streptophyta; Magnoliopsida; Rosales; Rosaceae.
AAUGAGAGUGAAGAUGAAAUUGAGAAGGAGGAGUAACAAAAAUAAAAACAAAAAAUUGAAAUAUAUUUGAAAUUGUUUUCAAUUUUGUUACUCCUCCCUCCCAUCCUCCCCUCUCAUCAUCUUUC